AUGAACGCUGGCGGCGUGCCUAAUACAUGCAAGUCGAGCGAACAGACGAGGAGCUUGCUCCUCUGACGUUAGCGGCGGACGGGUGAGUAACACGUGGAUAACCUACCUAUAAGACUGGGAUAACUUCGGGAAACCGGAGCUAAUACCGGAUAAUAUAUUGAACCGCAUGGUUCAAUAGUGAAGGACGGUUUUGCUGUCACUUAUAGAUGGAUCCGCGCCGCAUUAGCUAGUUGGUAAGGUAACGGCUUACCAAGGCAACGAUGCGUAGCCGACCUGAGAGGGUGAUCGGCCACACUGGAACUGAGACACGGUCCAGACUCCUACGGGAGGCAGCAGUAGGGAAUCUUCCGCAAUGGGCGAAAGCUUGACGGAGCAACGCCGCGUGAGUGAUGAAGGUCUUCGGAUCGUAAAACUCUGUUAUUAGGGAAGAACAAAUGUGUAAGUAACUAUGCACGUCUUGACGGUACCUAAUCAGAAAGCCACGGCUAACUACGUG
RNAcentral lists this ribosomal RNA (496 nucleotides) under uncultured bacterium. RNAcentral's name for it is "partial 16S ribosomal RNA". It matches the Rfam family "Bacterial small subunit ribosomal RNA", at positions 29 to 507 of the family's 1533-position model. The record is from RNAcentral.